AACGAACGCUGGCGGCAUGCCUAACACAUGCAAGUCGAACGACACCUUCGGGUCUAGUGGCGCACGGGUGCGUAACGCGUGGGAACCUGCCCUUAGGUUCGGAAUAACUCCCCGAAAGGGGUGCUAAUACCGGAUAAUGUCUUCGGACCAAAGAUUUAUCGCCUUUGGAUGGGCCCGCGUUGGAUUAGCUAGUUGGUAGGGUAAAAGCCUACCAAGGCGACGAUACAUAGCUGGUCUGAGAGGAUGAUCAGCCACACUGGGACUGGGACACGGCCCAGACUCCUACGGGAGGCAGCAGUGGGGAAUAUUGGACAAUGGGCGAAAGCCUGAUCCAGCACUGCCGCGUGAGUGAUGAAGGCCUUAGGGUUGUAAAGCUCUUUUACCCGGGAUGAUAAUGACAGUACCGGGAGAAUAAGCACCGGCUAACUCCGUG
Molecule: ribosomal RNA, 433 nt
Filed under: uncultured bacterium
Lineage: Bacteria
Description: partial 16S ribosomal RNA
Rfam family: Bacterial small subunit ribosomal RNA
Source: RNAcentral